RNAcentral lists this ribosomal RNA (1267 nucleotides) under uncultured bacterium. RNAcentral describes it as "bacterial SSU rRNA". It matches the Rfam family "Bacterial small subunit ribosomal RNA", at positions 132 to 1399 of the family's 1533-position model. The record is from RNAcentral.
AGGAGCGGGGGAUAACUACUCGAAAGAGUGGCUUAAUACCGCAUACGCCCUACGGGGGAAAGGGGGGGAUCGCAAGACCUCUCACUAUUGGAGCGGCCGAUAUCGGAUUAGCUAGUUGGUGGGGUAAAGGCUCACCAAGGCAACGAUCCGUAGCUGGUUUGAGAGGACGACCAGCCACACUGGGACUGAGACACGGCCCAGACUCCUACGGGAGGCAGCAGUGGGGAAUUUUGGACAAUGGGGGAAACCCUGAUCCAGCCAUCCCGCGUGUAUGAUGAAGGCCUUCGGGUUGUAAAGUACUUUUGGCAGAGAAGAAAAGGCAUCCCCUAAUACGGGAUGCUGCUGACGGUAUCUGCAGAAUAAGCACCGGCUAACUACGUGCCAGCAGCCGCGGUAAUACGUAGGGUGCAAGCGUUAAUCGGAAUUACUGGGCGUAAAGCGUGUGUAGGCGGUUCGGAAAGAAAGAUGUGAAAUCCCAGGGCUCAACCUUGGAACUGCAUUUUUAACUGCCGAGCUAGAGUAUGUCAGAGGGGGGUAGAAUUCCACGUGUAGCAGUGAAAUGCGUAGAUAUGUGGAGGAAUACCGAUGGCGAAGGCAGCCCCCUGGGAUAAUACUGACGCUCAGACACGAAAGCGUGGGGAGCAAACAGGGUUAGAUACCCUGGUAGUCCACGCCCUAAACGAUGUCAACUAGCUGUUGGGGCCGUUAGGCCUUAGUAGCGCAGCUAACGCGUGAAGUUGACCGCCUGGGGAGUACGGUCGCAAGAUUAAAACUCAAAGGAAUUGACGGGGACCCGCACAAGCGGUGGAUGAUGUGGAUUAAUUCGAUGCAACGCGAAAAACCUUACCUACCCUUGACAUGUCUGGAAUGCCGAAGAGAUUUGGCAGUGCUCGCAAGAGAACCGGAACACAGGUGCUGCAUGGCUGUCGUCAGCUCGUGUCGUGAGAUGUUGGGUUAAGUCCCGCAACGAGCGCAACCCUUGUCAUUAGUUGCUACGCAAGAGCACUCUAAUGAGACUGCCGGUGACAAACCGGAGGAAGGUGGGGAUGACGUCAAGUCCUCAUGGCCCUUAUGGGUAGGGCUUCACACGUCAUACAAUGGUCGGGACAGAGGGUCGCCAACCCGCGAGGGGGAGCCAAUCUCAGAAACCCGAUCGUAGUCCGGAUCGCAGUCUGCAACUCGACUGCGUGAAGUCGGAAUCGCUAGUAAUCGCGGAUCAGAAUGUCGCGGUGAAUACGUUCCCGGGUCUUGUACACACCGCCCGUCA